This 482-nucleotide ribosomal RNA is filed under the name uncultured bacterium. RNAcentral's name for it is "partial 16S ribosomal RNA". It matches the Rfam family "Bacterial small subunit ribosomal RNA", at positions 30 to 507 of the family's 1533-position model. The record is from RNAcentral.
AUUGAACGCUGGCGGCAUGCCUUACACAUGCAAGUCGAACGGUAACGGGCCUUCGGGUGCCGACGAGUGGCGAACGGGUGAGUAAUACAACGGAACGUGCCCGAUCGUGGGGGAUAACGAGGCGAAAGCUUUGCUAAUACCGCAUACGAUCUACGGAUGAAAGCAGGGGACCGCAAGGCCUUGCGCGGACGGAGCGGCCGAUGGCAGAUUAGGUAGUUGGUGGGAUAAAAGCUUACCAAGCCGACGAUCUGUAGCUGGUCUGAGAGGAUGAUCAGCCACACUGGAACUGAGACACGGCCCAGACUCCUACGGGAGGCAGCAGUGGGGAAUUUUGGACAAUGGGCGCAAGCCUGAUCCAGCCAUGCCGCGUGCAGGAUGAAGGCCUUCGGGUUGUAAACUGCUUUUGUACGGAACGAAAAGCCUUCUUUUAAUACAGGAGGGUCAUGACGGUACCGUAAGAAUAAGCACCGGCUAACUACGUG